GGGGCGUAGCGCAGACCGGUAGCGCACUCGCUUGGGGUGCGAGUGGUCGUGGGUUCAAAUC
RNAcentral lists this transfer RNA (61 nucleotides) under Nitrospirae bacterium RIFCSPLOWO2_12_FULL_63_8. RNAcentral's name for it is "tRNA-Pro". It matches the Rfam family "tRNA", at positions 2 to 59 of the family's 71-position model. From Rfam's summary of the family: Transfer RNA (tRNA) molecules are approximately 80 nucleotides in length. Their secondary structure includes four short double-helical elements and three loops (D, anti-codon, and T loops). Lineage: Bacteria; Pseudomonadati; Nitrospirota. The record is from RNAcentral.